GCCUGAGUGGCUCAGUUAGUUGAGCGUCUGACUUAAGCUCAGGUCAUGAUCUCACAGUUCGCAGUUCAUGGGUUCAAGCCCUGCAUCAGGCU
Molecule: transfer RNA, 92 nt
Filed under: Felis catus (domestic cat)
Lineage: Eukaryota; Metazoa; Chordata; Mammalia; Carnivora; Felidae
Rfam family: tRNA
About the family: Transfer RNA (tRNA) molecules are approximately 80 nucleotides in length. Their secondary structure includes four short double-helical elements and three loops (D, anti-codon, and T loops). Further hydrogen bonds mediate the characteristic L-shaped molecular structure. tRNAs have two regions of fundamental functional importance: the anti-codon, which is responsible for specific mRNA codon recognition, and the 3' end, to which the tRNAs corresponding amino acid is attached (by aminoacyl-tRNA synthetases). tRNAs cope with the degeneracy of the genetic code in two manners: having more than one tRNA (with a specific anti-codon) for a particular amino acid; and 'wobble' base-pairing, i.e. permitting non-standard base-pairing at the 3rd anti-codon position.
Source: Rfam by way of RNAcentral